CGGCUCAGUAACACGUGGAUAACCUACCCUUGAGACGGGGAUAAACCCGGGAAACUGGGUAUAAUACCCGAUAGAUCUCGACUGCUGGAAUGCAUCGAGCUUGAAAGCUCCGGCGCUCAAGGAUGGGUCUGCGGCCUAUCAGGUAGUAGUGGGUGUAGCGUACCUACUAGCCUACGACGGGUACGGGUUGUGAGAGCAAGAGCCCGGAGAUGGAUUCUGAGACACGAAUCCAGGCCCUACGGGGUGCAGCAGGCGCGAAAACUUUACAAUGCUGGAAACAGCGAUAAGGGGACCUCGAGUGCCAGGUUACAAAUCUGGCUGUCGUGAUGCCUAAAAAGCAUUGCAUAGCAAGGGCCGGGCAAGACCGGUGCCAGCCGCCGCGGUAACACCGGCGGCUCGAGUGGUAACCGUUAUUAUUGGGUCUAAAGGGUCUGUAGCCGGCCGGAUAAGUCUCUUGGGAAAUCUGGCAGCUUAACUGUCAGGCUUUCAGGAGAUACUGUCUGGCUCGAGGCCGGGAGAGGUGAGAGGUACUUCAGGGGUAGGGGUGAAAUCUUGUAAUCCUUGAAGGACCACCAGUGGCGAAGGCGUCUCACCAGAACGGACCUGACGG
This 610-nucleotide ribosomal RNA is filed under the name uncultured Methanosaeta sp. RNAcentral's name for it is "bacterial SSU rRNA". It matches the Rfam family "Archaeal small subunit ribosomal RNA", at positions 83 to 697 of the family's 1478-position model. Lineage: Archaea; Methanobacteriati; Methanobacteriota; Methanomicrobia; Methanotrichales; Methanotrichaceae. The record is from RNAcentral.